UACAGAGGGUGCGAGCGUUAAUCGGAAUUACUGGGCGUAAAGCGCACGUAGUCGGCUUUGCAAGUCGGUUGUGAAAUCCCCGGGCUCAACCUGGGAACUGCAUCCGAGACUGCAUUGCUAGAGUAUGGGAGAGGAAAGCGGAAUUCCCGGUGUAGUGGUGAAAUGCGUAGAGAUCGGGAGGAACACCAGUGGCGAAAGCGGCCGACUGGACCUGUCCUGACGCUGAGGCGCGAAAGCGUGGGGAGCGAACCGG
This 253-nucleotide ribosomal RNA is filed under the name uncultured bacterium. RNAcentral describes it as "partial 16S ribosomal RNA". It matches the Rfam family "Bacterial small subunit ribosomal RNA", at positions 524 to 776 of the family's 1533-position model. The record is from RNAcentral.